Molecule: transfer RNA, 70 nt
Filed under: Holothuria spinifera
Lineage: Eukaryota; Metazoa; Echinodermata; Holothuroidea; Aspidochirotida; Holothuriidae
Description: tRNA-Trp
Rfam family: tRNA
About the family: Transfer RNA (tRNA) molecules are approximately 80 nucleotides in length.
Source: RNAcentral
AAAGACUUAAGUUAAUGAAGACUCUAAGCCUUCAAAGCUUAAAGUGUAGGUUAAACUCCUACAGUCUUUG